GAGGAAGUACGAUUCAUUUCCGGUGUCGCAUAAAUGUAAACUAUUUUCUGUUUUAUGUGCAGAUAUUUGAGGUGUUCGGUGUUGUGCAAAAACUCAUGAUACCACGCCCCCACAAACUUUCGCACUUGGGAUAUGCAAUCCUGCAAGUGAGAUUAUUUUCUUUUACUCGACAUGAAUAGUAUUAGUAACUCUCUUUAGACUAGCCCCUCUGCCCAACUAAUAAGAUUUUUUUUUAUUUUUCUGGUAGUUCGAUAGUGCAGAAGGUGUGCGAGCUGCUCUCCGUUUGGACAAGCAACUGGAGUUUAUUUAUCAGAACGUAACGGUAACACAGUAACAGUAAAAUUGCUCUCCUUUUUUAAAGCAGUGUACAGAAUUGUUUUUCUAAGAAAUUAAGGUUGUAUCUUAUAGGUAGAGAUGCAAGUUACUGCACUUGAUGGAACAGAAUUGAGUCAUGACGGGGAAACAUAUACUACAUGUAAGGAUCCCGUGGAAGAUGAUGGUUCUUUGUAAAUGCAGACUCUUCGAAUAUAAGGAUCUCGUGGAAGAUGAUGGUUCUUUGUAAUGCAGACUCUUCGAAUAUAAGGAUCUCGUGGAAGAUGAUGGUUCUUUGUAAUGCAGACUCUUCGAAUAUAAUGGCAUUGGCUAUGAAAAAGUGUAACUGCAUCAUUUUUUAUGACAUUAGUAUAUAUGUUGCCGUGAAUAGCAACAGAUUAACUGAUUGCAUUUAGUUUUAGCCUUAUUAAGAGAUUAUGAGACUUUUUUCUAGAACUAUCGUCUUCCCCUGGUGUUUUUGUUUGACAAUCCCAGAAAGGGAGACAAUAUAUG
This 825-nucleotide long non-coding RNA is filed under the name Daucus carota (carrot). RNAcentral describes it as "long non-coding RNA (DCAR_LNC005404)". The record is from RNAcentral. Lineage: Eukaryota; Viridiplantae; Streptophyta; Magnoliopsida; Apiales; Apiaceae.